RNAcentral lists this ribosomal RNA (1446 nucleotides) under uncultured bacterium. RNAcentral describes it as "partial 16S ribosomal RNA". It matches the Rfam family "Bacterial small subunit ribosomal RNA". The record is from RNAcentral.
AGAGUUUGAUCCUGGCUCAGAACGUACGCUGGCGGCACGCCUAACACAUGCAAGUCGAACGAAGUAGCAAUACUUAGUGGCGAACGGGUGAGUAUAAUGUGGGUAUCUGCCUUUUGGUUUGGAAUAACACGAGGAAACUUGUGCUAAUACCGGAUAAGCCUUCACAGGGAAAGUUUUAACGCCAAAAGAUGAGCCCGCACUUGAUUAGCUAGUUGGUAAGGUAAAAGCUUACCAAGGCUACGAUCAAUAGCUGAUCUGAGAGGAUGAUCAGCCACAUUGGGACUGAGACACGGCCCAAACUCCUACGGGAGGCAGCAGUGGGGAAUCUUGCACAAUGGGGGAAACCCUGAUGCAGCGAUGCCGCGUGAGUGAAGAAGGCCUUUGGGUUGUAAAGCUCUUUCGUCGGGGAAGAAAAUGACUGUACCCGAAUAAGAAGGUCCGGCUAACUUCGUGCCAGCAGCCGCGGUAAUACGAAGGGACCUAGCGUAGUUCGGAAUUACUGGGCUUAAAGAGCUCGUAGGUGGUUAGAAAAGUUGGUGGUGAAAGCCCAAGGCUUAACCUUGGAACUGCCAUCAAAACUUUUUAACUAGAGUAUGGUAGAGGAAAGUGGAAUUUCUGGUGUAGCGGUGAAAUGCGUAGAUAUCAGAAGGAACAUCAAUGGCGAAGGCAGCUUUCUGGACCAAUACUGACGCUGAGGUACGAAAGCGUGGGUAGCAAACAGGAUUAGAUACCCUGGUAGUCCACGCCGUAAACGAUGAUAACUAGCCGUUGGGGGGAUUUACCCUUUAGUGGCGAAGCUAACGCGUUAAGUUAUCCGCCUGGGGAGUACGGCCGCAAGGCUAAAACUCAAAGGAAUUGACGGGGACCCGCACAAGCGGUGGAGCAUGUGGUUUAAUUCGAUGCAACGCGAAGAACCUUACCUGGUCUUGACAUCCUGCGAACUUUCUAGAAAUAGAUUGGUGCCUUCGGGAACGCAGUGACAGGUGCUGCAUGGCUGUCGUCAGCUCGUGUCGUGAGAUGUUGGGUUAAGUCCCGUAACGAGCGCAACCCCUAUCCUUAUUUGCCAGCACAUUAUGGUGGGAACUAUAAGGAGACUGCCGGUGAUAAACCGGAGGAAGGCGGGGACGACGUCAAGUCAUCAUGGCCCUUACGACCAGGGCUACACACGUGCUACAAUGGGAAGGACAAAGAGCCGCGAAGCCGCGAGGUGUAGCUAAUCUCAUAAAUCUUUUCGUAGUCCGGAUUGGAGUCUGCAACUCGACUCCAUGAAGUCGGAAUCGCUAGUAAUCGUAGAUCAGAAUGCUACGGUGAAUACGUUCCCGGGUCUUGUACACACCGCCCGUCAUACCAUGGGAGUGGGUUGCACCAGAAGUGGCUAGUCUAACUUUGUGAGGACGGUCACCACGGUGUGAUUCAUGACUGGGGUAAAGUCGUAACAAGGUAACC